UACGUAGGUGGCAAGCGUUAUCCGGAAUUAUUGGGCGUAAAGAGCGCGCAGGUGGUUGAUUAAGUCUGAUGUGAAAGCCCACGGCUUAACCGUGGAGGGUCAUUGGAAACUGGUCGACUUGAGUGCAGAAGAGGGAAGUGGAAUUCCAUGUGUAGCGGUGAAACGCGUAGAGAUAUGGAGUAACACCAGUGGCGAAGGCGGCUUCCUGGUCUGUAACUGACACUGAGGCGCGAAAGCGUGGGGAGCAAACAGGAUUAGAUACCCU
This 265-nucleotide ribosomal RNA is filed under the name uncultured prokaryote. Its description in RNAcentral is "partial 16S ribosomal RNA". It matches the Rfam family "Bacterial small subunit ribosomal RNA", at positions 524 to 788 of the family's 1533-position model. The record is from RNAcentral.